Molecule: ribosomal RNA, 1525 nt
Filed under: Lacticaseibacillus paracasei
Lineage: Bacteria; Bacillati; Bacillota; Bacilli; Lactobacillales; Lactobacillaceae
Description: Lactobacillus paracasei partial 16S ribosomal RNA
Rfam family: Bacterial small subunit ribosomal RNA
Source: RNAcentral
GGCGUUAUUUGGUUGGGGGUUAAGGUGGGCGGUACUGCAGUCGAACGAGUUCUCGUUGAUGAUCGGUGCUUGCACCGAGAUUCAACAUGGAACGAGUGGCGGACGGGUGAGUAACACGUGGGUAACCUGCCCUUAAGUGGGGGAUAACAUUUGGAAACAGAUGCUAAUACCGCAUAGAUCCAAGAACCGCAUGGUUCUUGGCUGAAAGAUGGCGUAAGCUAUCGCUUUUGGAUGGACCCGCGGCGUAUUAGCUAGUUGGUGAGGUAAUGGCUCACCAAGGCGAUGAUACGUAGCCGAACUGAGAGGUUGAUCGGCCACAUUGGGACUGAGACACGGCCCAAACUCCUACGGGAGGCAGCAGUAGGGAAUCUUCCACAAUGGACGCAAGUCUGAUGGAGCAACGCCGCGUGAGUGAAGAAGGCUUUCGGGUCGUAAAACUCUGUUGUUGGAGAAGAAUGGUCGGCAGAGUAACUGUUGUCGGCGUGACGGUAUCCAACCAGAAAGCCACGAUAACUMCGUGCCAGGUCAGCCGCUGGAWAAUAMGUAGGUGSGMAAGUGUYAUCCGGAUUUUAUUGGCSGWMAARCGAGCSCMKGGSGUUUUUUACAGUCUGAUGUGAAAGCCCUCGGSUUAACCGAAGAAGCGCAUCGGAAACUGGGAAACYUGARUCSCARAARAGGACCAGUGGAAACUCCWUGUGUAGCGGUGAAAUGCGUAGAUAUAUGGAAAGAACACCCAKUGCSCRAAGGCGGCUGUYUGGUCUGUAACUWGACGCURAGGCUCCCRAAAGCWUGGKURGSGAAGMAGGAUUAGAUUACCCUUSGKMGUCCCAUGCUYKUWAACGAUGAGAAUGCCURGGUCKUUGGAGGGGUUYCCGCCCUUCYCAGKSCCGCAGCKAACGCAUUAAGCAUUCCGCCUGGGGAGUACGACCGCAAGGUUGAAACUCAAAGGAAUUGACGGGGGCCCGCACAAGCGGUGGAGCAUGUGGUUUAAUUCGAAGCAACGCGAAGAACCUUACCAGGUCUUGACAUCUUUUGAUCACCUGAGAGAUCAGGUUUCCCCUUCGGGGGCAAAAUGACAGGUGGUGCAUGGUUGUCGUCAGCUCGUGUCGUGAGAUGUUGGGUUAAGUCCCGCAACGAGCGCAACCCUUAUGACUAGUUGCCAGCAUUUAGUUGGGCACUCUAGUAAGACUGCCGGUGACAAACCGGAGGAAGGUGGGGAUGACGUCAAAUCAUCAUGCCCCUUAUGACCUGGGCUACACACGUGCUACAAUGGAUGGUACAACGAGUUGCGAGACCGCGAGGUCAAGCUAAUCUCUUAAAGCCAUUCUCAGUUCGGACUGUAGGCUGCAACUCGCCUACACGAAGUCGGAAUCGCUAGUAAUCGCGGAUCAGCACGCCGCGGUGAAUACGUUCCCGGGCCUUGUACACACCGCCCGUCACACCAUGAGAGUUUGUAACACCCGAAGCCGGUGGCGUAACCCUUUUAGGGAGCGUAGCCGUAGAAGAGGUGCCCCCAUCUCCUGCG